Molecule: ribosomal RNA, 248 nt
Filed under: uncultured bacterium
Lineage: Bacteria
Description: partial 16S ribosomal RNA
Rfam family: Bacterial small subunit ribosomal RNA
Source: RNAcentral
CGUAUGGCGACCGGCGCACGGGUGAGUAACGCGUAUGCAACCUGCCCGAUACCGGGGUAUAGCCCAUGGAAACGUGGAUUAACACCCCAUAGUACUUUUAUCCUGCAUGGGAUGUGAGUUAAAUGUUUAAGGUAUCGGAUGGGCAUGCGUCCUAUUAGUUAGUUGGCGGGGUAACAGCCCACCAAGACGAUGAUAGGUAGGGGUUCUGAGAGGAAGGUCCCCCACAUUGGAACUGAGACACGGUCCAA